This is a long non-coding RNA of Salvelinus sp. IW2-2015, 1294 nucleotides long. RefSeq lists it as uncharacterized. The record is from RefSeq and is a predicted model, not a curated record. Lineage: Eukaryota; Metazoa; Chordata; Actinopteri; Salmoniformes; Salmonidae.
CACUAGCCGCGCUGCAUGUUGGUCCUCUCCUUCACCAACGGAAGAAAACCGUUACAGAACCACCCAAUUAACUCGGACCAAGCACCGUUACAAGGCACCAGGGAAUCCAGCAGCAAUUAGUGUGGGAAACCUCUGAGGUCCCAGACACAAGGGUUGGGAAACCUUGCUAGCUUGAUACUGAUAGCUACCAGCUAGGCUAGUAGCUAAGCUACGGUAAACAACUUCAGGCUUUUUGGUCUGGCAGGAUCCCGGGACAGAUUGUAGCUGGCACAGCAACUGAGGCUAACCGCAAUGCAGGAUCCAAAAUAAAAAGUAUUUAAAUAAAACUUGGCAAGGAAACACUGUUGCAACUUUCAAAAAGAAUACAAUGAGGAGACAAAGAUUUCAGGGUGGGUUAUUGAGGCUAAUAAAACCCUACAACAGUGGCCUCCACAACAGUGAUUGAGGCAACCACUGGUAAGAGGCAUGAAACCUUAGUAAUUGCUCAACAUGUCCCAGCCACAAUAAAUAAUUUUACUGCUGUCUCCCUUUAACAGAACAUUCAGCAGAAAUCUCCUCAUGGGCUGGUAGGUUUUAUGUUGAAAGCAGAUCUUACUYCAGUUCAUUUUCAUGGAUUUGAUUAAUUAGCUGAUUAGUUAAUUUAGGUGUUAUACCUUCUCUCUUCUGUCCCCCAGGAACUGGGUUCAAUGUGUUUAUUUAUUUCCAACUUGCUGAAGUCUUCAUUCUUCUGACAGUCUGUCUGGGAUCAUACUGGUUUUACAAGAAGAAAACCUGUCCUCAAGAACAAGAUGAUGGUGAGUAAGCAGAGUGAUUGCUGUCUCUCAGGUUGAUCACGGUGGGACCCAAAGGGGGGUGUUGAUGUCAUGAAAGUUGCCAUGGGGACCAUGACUGAUGACUAAUGAUGAUGUUAUAAUGAUUAUUGCUGUUUUAAUUUUAAUCAAGCUCAAACUCAAAGCACAGUCAUAUUUAGUUAUUUUGACAUACAUUUGUAAAGUUUCAUAAUGUUCCUUAAGACCUGCCCUUAACAAAUUAAUAAUGAAUGAUCUAUGUGAUGGUGCUAAUUUAACAUUUGAAUUAGUAGUGUUUUUGUGGUUUUUCAUUUGUACAUACAGUUACAUAAACUAAUGAAAAUGCUAUUGUGUUUUUGAAAAUACAUUUUCUUUCAUAUUCGAAUGUGACCUAAGACCUUCACAAACACAUUUUUAUUUUGCGAAAGCAAAUAUGUAGAGUUCAAAAGGUACUUACACUCAAAACCAUGAAAAUGAAUAACCCAAGGAAAUGCAAAAAUAAUGCA